ACCGGGCACGGUAAUGGAUUCUGCCGGGCCGUGGUGGCCGAACCGCUUGCUUGCAAGCUGAUGACUCCUACUCGUGA
RNAcentral lists this non-coding RNA (77 nucleotides) under Rhizobium sp. RNAcentral's name for it is "Fluoride sequence". It matches the Rfam family "Fluoride riboswitch aptamer (crcB RNA motif)". Lineage: Bacteria; Pseudomonadati; Pseudomonadota; Alphaproteobacteria; Hyphomicrobiales; Rhizobiaceae. The record is from RNAcentral.